UUUAAUUAUUUAAUGCUAACAACUGAUUAGAAACCACGAAAGUUAUGAAUACUGUUAAGUCAACUGUUAAAUAACAGCUGUCCCUCAUCCAAGUCUGUAAACAGGCCAUGGGGCAACAACAAACUAACAAAAACAAGUUACGUGAAAUAUAAAUGGACUAAUAAGCAAAAAAAAGUAAAUGACAUGGCCAGCCGUGCGAUUACAAAAGCACAGAAUUCGUUCUAGUCGUACAGUCAUCGUCAAUUAAACUUGUUAUUUAAUUGAAAUCCAGAGCUAGCUAUGUGUUUGGCACUGCGAGUUUAGCAUGUGACGUUCCUCGUAGCAACAAUCAUGUACUAUUUGCUGUCAAAUCGAGCCGGGAGAUGUUAAUUAAAUGUUAUAGUUCCACUUUAAAUUUAUUGAAUUCAAAAUAUUAAUAUCAAUUUUAUAUACAAAUCAUAUGUUUCGUCAUUUCGUAAAUUCGUGCAUACUCAAUCUAACGUAGACCAACAUUUACAUAAAAAGUGCAAUAAAUCAAUGCCCACCAGUGAGAAGGCGGAAGUGACCAAAGCUGACACAACAACAACAACAAAGAGCAAAAGACUGAACAGCCAAUUCUAACGGGAUUUUGGCACAAGAAACAACAACAAACAGUAAAAGAACUUUUGCUUUACAUUUAACGUUGAUUUAUUAAAAUUAACAACGGAAAAAUGGAUGAGGUUUUCUCACUGCACAUGGAAAAGCUCGACGUCUACGACGUAUUUCUCCUG
This is an unclassified non-coding RNA of Drosophila arizonae, 749 nucleotides long. The record is from RefSeq and is a predicted model, not a curated record. Lineage: Eukaryota; Metazoa; Arthropoda; Insecta; Diptera; Drosophilidae.